This 628-nucleotide ribosomal RNA is filed under the name uncultured Gammaproteobacteria bacterium. RNAcentral's name for it is "partial 16S ribosomal RNA". Lineage: Bacteria; Pseudomonadati; Pseudomonadota; Gammaproteobacteria. The record is from RNAcentral.
CGCGUUGGGAGCUCUCCCUAUGGUCGACCUGCAGGCGGCCGCGAAUUCACUAGUGAUUCGUAUUACCGCGGCUGCUGGCACAGAGUUAGCCGGUGCUUAUUCUGUCGGUAACGUCAAAACACUAACGUAUUAGGUUAAUGCCCUUCCUCCCAACUUAAAGUGCUUUACAAUCCGAAGACCUUCUUCACACACGCGGCAUGGCUGGAUCAGGCUUUCGCCCAUUGUCCAAUAUUCCCCACUGCUGCCUCCCGUAGGAGUCUGGACCGUGUCUCAGUUCCAGUGUGACUGAUCAUCCUCUCAGACCAGUUACGGAUCGUCGCCUUGGUGAGCCAUUACCCCACCAACUAGCUAAUCCGACCUAGGCUCAUCUGAUAGCGCAAGGCCCGAAGGUCCCCUGCUUUCUCCCGUAGGACGUAUGCGGUAUUAGCGUCCGUUUCCGAGCGUUAUCCCCCACUACCAGGCAGAUUCCUAGGCAUUACUCACCCGUCCGCCGCUCUCAAGAGGCGCAAGCACCUCUCUACCGCUCGACUUGCAUGUGUUAGGCCUCCCCCCAGCGUUCAAUCUGAGCCAUGAUCAAACUCUAAUCGAAUUCCCGCGGCCGCCAUGGCGGCCGGGAGCAUGCGACGUC